RNAcentral lists this ribosomal RNA (121 nucleotides) under uncultured Treponema sp. Its description in RNAcentral is "partial 16S ribosomal RNA". It matches the Rfam family "Bacterial small subunit ribosomal RNA", at positions 29 to 148 of the family's 1533-position model. Lineage: Bacteria; Pseudomonadati; Spirochaetota; Spirochaetia; Treponematales; Treponemataceae. The record is from RNAcentral.
AACGAACGCUGGCGGCGCGUCUUAAACAUGCAAGUCGAACGGCAGGAAGGGGCUUGCCCCUUCUGAGAGUGGCGGACUGGUGAGUAACACGUGGGUGACAUACCUUUUAGUUGGGAUAGCU